Molecule: ribosomal RNA, 812 nt
Filed under: uncultured bacterium
Lineage: Bacteria
Description: bacterial SSU rRNA
Rfam family: Bacterial small subunit ribosomal RNA
Source: RNAcentral
UNUGACUUGAGUGCAGAAGGGGAGAGUGGANUUCCAUGUGUAGCGGUGAAAUGCGUAGAUAUAUGGAGGAACACCAGUGGCGAAAGCGGCUCUCUGNUCUGUCACUGACGCUGAGGCUCGAAAGCGUGGGUAGCGAACAGGAUUAGAUACCCUGGUAGUCCACGCCGUAAACGAUGAGUGCUAGGUGUUAGGCCCUUUCCGGGGCUUAGUGCCGGAGCUAACGCAAUAAGCACUCCGCCUGGGGAGUACGACCGCAAGGUUGAAACUCAAAGGAAUUGACGGGGGCCCGCACAAGCGGUGGAGCAUGUGGUUUAAUUCGAAGCAACGCGAAGAACCUUACCAGGUCUUGACAUCCCGAUGCUAUUCUUAGAGAUAGGAAGUUACUUCGGUACAUCGGAGACAGGUGGUGCAUGGUUGUCGUCAGCUCGUGUCGUGAGAUGUUGGGUUAAGUCCCGCAACGAGCGCAACCCUUAUUGUUAGUUGCCAUCAUUAAGUUGGGCACUCUAGCGAGACUGCCGGUAAUAAACGGGAGGAAGGUGGGGAUGACGUCAAAUCACCAUGCCCCUUAUGACCUGGGCUACACACGUGCUACAAUGGUCGGUACAACGAGUUGCGAGCCGGUGACGGCAAGCUAAUCUCUGAAAGCCGAUCUCAGUUCGGAUUGGAGGCUGCAACUCGCCUCCAUGAAGUCGGAAUCGCUAGUAAUCGCGGAUCAGCACGCCGCGGUGAAUACGUUCCCGGGCCUUGUACACACCGCCCGUCACACCACGAGAGUUUGUAACACCCGAAGUCGGUGAGGUANCCUUUUAGGG